RNAcentral lists this ribosomal RNA (253 nucleotides) under uncultured bacterium. RNAcentral describes it as "partial 16S ribosomal RNA". It matches the Rfam family "Bacterial small subunit ribosomal RNA", at positions 524 to 776 of the family's 1533-position model. The record is from RNAcentral.
UACGUAAGUGGCAAGCGUUGUCCGGAUUUACUGGGUGUAAAGGGCGUGCAGCCGGGCUGACAAGUCAGAUGUGAAAUCCCGCGGCUCAACCGCGGAACUGCAUUUGAAACUGUCAGUCUUGAGUACCGGAGAGGUCAUCGGAAUUCCUUGUGUAGCGGUGAAAUGCGUAGAUAUAAGGAAGAACACCAGUGGCGAAGGCGGAUGACUGGACGGCAACUGACGGUGAGGCGCGAAAGCGUGGGGAGCAAACAGG